Long non-coding RNA from Protopterus annectens (West African lungfish), 411 nucleotides. RefSeq lists it as uncharacterized. Lineage: Eukaryota; Metazoa; Chordata; Ceratodontiformes; Protopteridae. The transcript has 2 exons. The record is from RefSeq and is a predicted model, not a curated record.
CUCAAAAUGGUCCCCCUGCUUCCUUUACCUUGUUUCCUGCUUCCUCAUGGGUCAGGAGCGCUCGUAGAAGCCAUAAAACUUCGUGGAAUCUUCGUGUUUCAGCUAGGAAGACGAGAUUAAAAGAUAAAACGGAGAAUUGCCAGGCCUGCUGAAGAAUGAAGAACACACAAAGGAUUUUGAAGCCUCGGAUUUUCGUAAAUGCAGUCUCCCAUUCAUUUUAAUGCAGGAAAAAGCCAGGAUGUACUGUUCAAUUUUCAGAUGGUGGCAGAGCCUUAAACAGCUUCAAAAAGGUGGAUGUAAUAUAACCACAACAACAACAAAAAUACGAGACUGCAACAUCAAAAGAGGAACUUCAUUCAUCAUUUUCCAGGAGAUCAGCAAAGCCUGGAGUCCUAGCCUGCAUUCCAGAGG